GCUGUGGCUCAGGGGUAGAGCAUGUGCUUGGCAUGCAGAGGGUCCCAGGUUCAAGCCCCAGCAUCACCA
RNAcentral lists this transfer RNA (69 nucleotides) under Sphaerodactylus townsendi. Its description in RNAcentral is "tRNA-Ala". It matches the Rfam family "tRNA". Rfam says of the family: Transfer RNA (tRNA) molecules are approximately 80 nucleotides in length. The record is from RNAcentral. Lineage: Eukaryota; Metazoa; Chordata; Lepidosauria; Squamata; Sphaerodactylidae.